AUUGAACGCUGGCGGCAGGCUUAACACAUGCAAGUCGAGCGGGGUGAUGGUGCUUGCACUAUCACUUAGCGGCGGACGGGUGAGUAAUGCUUAGGAAUCUGCCUAUUAGUGGGGGACAACAUCUCGAAAGGGAUGCUAAUACCGCAUACGUCCUACGAGAGAAAGCAGGGGAUCCCUUGUGACCUUGCGCUAAUAGAUGAGCCUAAGUCGGAUUAGCUAGUUGGUGGGGUAAAGGACUACCAAGGCGACGAUCUGUAGCGGGUCUGAGAGGAUGAUCCGCCACACUGGGACUGAGACACGGCCCAGACUCCUACGGGAGGCAGCAGUGGGGAAUAUUGGACAAUGGGGGGAACCCUGAUCCAGCCAUGCCGCGUGUGUGAAGAAGGCCUUAUGGUUGUAAAGCACUUUAAGCGAGGAGGAGGCUCUUUUGGUUAAUACCCAAGAUGAGUGGACGUUACUUGCAGAAUAAGCACCGGCUAACUCUGUGCCAGCCGCCGCGGUAA
RNAcentral lists this ribosomal RNA (503 nucleotides) under uncultured bacterium. RNAcentral's name for it is "partial 16S ribosomal RNA". It matches the Rfam family "Bacterial small subunit ribosomal RNA", at positions 30 to 523 of the family's 1533-position model. The record is from RNAcentral.